CGCUGAACCCUCCGGCCGGUCGAAAGUUCUUGAGCGUUCGAAUGGUUAGCGUUAAAGCCGAAAGCCGGUUGUCGGGGUUGAUAAGACUAACAGACUGUGACUAGCAUAAGUCUUCAAUACUAAUGAAUUGAAUGAUGGCAUUUGUCACUACCUCACUCUCAAUCUACCCUGUAAAGGCUAUUGCAGUCAGCUGAUAGCCUAGACUGUUAUCACUAUAUCUCAACGGGUAAUUGUCAAGAAUUGGAUGUCGGGUCUGCAGCUUUUCGUUAUAUUUGGUCGUGAGGCUUACUUUAUUAUUAUAUUAUUUAUAUUCAUAAUAACUAACUUUGAUUAUCAUAAUAUAAUUCAUUCGCUGAUGGAUCUAAUGGCUAAUGGCAAAGAACAAGGUGAAGCAAACUGCAGUAAAAGCCCAAAUCUCUAUCUAAAUACACCUACAAGCGUAUUCAUACCCAACGCAUCUGAACUAACUACCUCGAAUUCUGCUGAAGAUCAUGCCAAAUCAUUAAAUAUGAAACUCAAGAAAUAAAUUAUCUACAAAGUCAUUUCCUCUCUCUACUCGAAGACCAAAGAUUUGCGCUUUUAAUUUAUAAACAACUCAAACCAAAAUUUGAUUUCGGUAGUCUAGCGUACAAGACUACGCUAUGCCUUAACUAAACAAAAAUCAAUUCAGAAAAUUUAGGAAUGUUAUGUGAAAUGUAUAUGCAAUAAUAAAUAAAUAAAUAAACAAAAUUUUAAAUUUGAA
Molecule: long non-coding RNA, 742 nt
Organism: Drosophila mojavensis
Lineage: Eukaryota; Metazoa; Arthropoda; Insecta; Diptera; Drosophilidae
Exons: 3
Source: RefSeq, a predicted model, not a curated record